This 465-nucleotide ribosomal RNA is filed under the name uncultured bacterium. RNAcentral describes it as "bacterial SSU rRNA". It matches the Rfam family "Bacterial small subunit ribosomal RNA", at positions 338 to 795 of the family's 1533-position model. The record is from RNAcentral.
CCUACGGGAGGCAGCAGUGGGGAAUUUUGGACAAUGGGGGCAACCCUGAUCCAGCAAUGCCGCGUGCAGGAAGAAGGCCUUCGGGUUGUAAACUGCUUUUGUCAGGGAAGAAAUCCCUUGGGUUAAUACCUCGGGGGGAUGACGGUACCUGAAGAAUAAGCACCGGCUAACUACGUGCCAGCAGCCGCGGUAAUACGUAGGGUGCGAGCGUUAAUCGGAAUUACUGGGCGUAAAGCGUGCGCAGGCGGCUUUGCAAGACAGGUGUGAAAUCCCCGGGCUUAACCUGGGAACUGCACUUGUGACUGCAUCGCUAGAGUACGGUAGAGGGGGAUGGAAUUCCGCGUGUAGCAGUGAAAUGCGUAGAUAUGCGGAGGAACACCGAUGGCGAAGGCAAUCCCCUGGACCUGUACUGACGCUCAUGCACGAAAGCGUGGGGAGCAAACAGGAUUAGAUACCCUUGUAGUC